AGUCAGGCUCCUGGCAGGAGU
This 21-nucleotide microRNA is filed under the name Mus musculus (house mouse). RNAcentral's name for it is "mmu-miR-344g-5p". Its record names the gene mmu-miR-344g-5p. Lineage: Eukaryota; Metazoa; Chordata; Mammalia; Rodentia; Muridae. The record is from miRBase by way of RNAcentral.